This 506-nucleotide ribosomal RNA is filed under the name uncultured bacterium. RNAcentral's name for it is "partial 16S ribosomal RNA". It matches the Rfam family "Bacterial small subunit ribosomal RNA", at positions 29 to 523 of the family's 1533-position model. The record is from RNAcentral.
AUUGAACGCUGGCGGCAGGCCUAACACAUGCAAGUCGGACGGUAGCACAGAGGAGCUUGCUCCUCGGGUGACGAGUGGCGGACGGGUGAGUAAUGUCUGGGGAUCUGCCCGAUAGAGGGGGAUAACCACUGGAAACGGUGGCUAAUACCGCAUAACGUCGCAAGACCAAAGAGGGGGACCUUCGGGCCUCUCACUAUCGGAUGAACCCAGAUGGGAUUAGCUAGUAGGCGGGGUAACGGCCCACCUAGGCGACGAUCCCUAGCUGGUCUGAGGGGAUGACUAGCCACACUGGAACUGAGACGCGGUCCAGACUCCUACGGGAGGCAGCAGUGGGGAAUAUUGCACAAUGGGCGCAAGCCUGAUGCAGCCAUGCCGCGUGUAUGAAGAAGGCCUUCGGGUUGUAAAGUACUUUCAGCGGGGAGGAAGGCGAUAAGGUUAAUAACCUUGUCGAUUGACGUUACCCGCAGAAGAAGCACCGGCUAACUCCGUGCCAGCCGCCGCCGUAA